This is a non-coding RNA of Ceratotherium simum simum (southern white rhinoceros), 152 nucleotides long. NCBI's taxonomy places the organism in Eukaryota, Metazoa, Chordata, Mammalia, Perissodactyla, Rhinocerotidae. The record is from RefSeq and is a predicted model, not a curated record.
CUUGUAGCCUGAGCAUAACUCCCUCUUUUUUCACCUGAACGUUUCUUCCUCCACAUCACAGCUCCAGCCACCACAGCUCCAGUGACCACAGCUCCAAGGAGAACCAGGCCAACAAUGUUGCCCAUGAUGGGGAUGGUGGAUUGAGGAGGCAG